RNAcentral lists this ribosomal RNA (425 nucleotides) under uncultured bacterium. RNAcentral's name for it is "partial 16S ribosomal RNA". It matches the Rfam family "Bacterial small subunit ribosomal RNA", at positions 354 to 796 of the family's 1533-position model. The record is from RNAcentral.
GUGGGGAAUCUUGCGCAAUGGGCGAAAGCCUGACGCAGCCAUGCCGCGUGAAUGAUGAAGGUCUUAGGAUUGUAAAAUUCUUUCACCGGGGAAGAUAAUGACUGUACCCGGUAAAGAAACCCCGGCAAACUACGUGCCAGCAGCCGCGGUAAUACGUAGGGGGCAAGCGUUGUCCGGAAUUACUGGGCGUAAAGCGCACGCAGGCUGAAUUAUAAGUCGGUAGUCAAAGGCGGAGGCUCAACCUCUGUAUAUCUAUCGAUACUGUAAAUCUGGAGUAUGUGAGAGGGAAGCGGAAUGCCCGGUGUAGCGGUGAAAUGCGUAGAUAUCGGGAGGAACACCAGUGGCGAAGGCGGCUUCCUGGCACAAUACUGACGCUCAUGUGCGAAAGCUAGGGCAGCGAACGGGAUUAGAAACCCCGGUAGUCC